RNAcentral lists this ribosomal RNA (253 nucleotides) under Blautia luti. Its description in RNAcentral is "partial 16S ribosomal RNA". It matches the Rfam family "Bacterial small subunit ribosomal RNA", at positions 524 to 776 of the family's 1533-position model. The record is from RNAcentral. Lineage: Bacteria; Bacillati; Bacillota; Clostridia; Lachnospirales; Lachnospiraceae.
UACGUAGGGGGCAAGCGUUAUCCGGAUUUACUGGGUGUAAAGGGAGCGUAGACGGAUGGACAAGUCUGAUGUGAAAGGCUGGGGCUCAACCCCGGGACUGCAUUGGAAACUGCCCGUCUUGAGUGCCGGAGAGGUAAGCGGAAUUCCUAGUGUAGCGGUGAAAUGCGUAGAUAUUAGGAGGAACAUCAGUGGCGAAGGCGGCUUACUGGACGGUAACUGACGUUGAGGCUCGAAAGCGUGGGGAGCAAACAGG